UGCGGGAGGACGGGGCCCUGGUGUGGUUUCCUCACACCUUCGGGCAUGUAUGGACUGCGGUUGUCUCAGACACGGCAGCCCCAUCUGAAGCCUGGAAUGAACUGUCUUCUUUGCUAAAAAAGAAAAAAAAAAAAAGAACAAAGUCAGGCAUCAGCAAACCCGGCGCACGUGAGCGUCCUUACCGAAAGGAAGGCCUCGGACCCAGACCAGGUGGGGCUUGUGGGCCUGUGGCUCCUUAGAAUCACCAAAGGGAAGGCAAUUUCAAGUCAAGAGGGCCUCCCUCGCUUUCUGCCGCGGAAGAAGCCUCCGGCUGAGCCACGAGGAGAGAAGGAAGUUUCCCGCAAGGGCCUGGAUACCCGUCGGCCAGGUCGGUGGAACAGGAAAUGGCAGCGUCCGUGUGGCCAAGGCCAACCAUCACAUCCAGCAGAGGCAACAUCUAAAUGGAAGGAAGACCUGGACGGUUUGCCAAAAAGACACGGAAGGCAGUGGCUGGAGCCACGGGAAAGGUAGUCGGGUUUGUUCCUGUGUCUCUGGGCUUGGCUUCAGGGUUUCCUAUGCUCUCACAGAAAGGCCCUGAGGAGGGAUGGCAGCCAGAGUCCUCCCCCCGCUGCCAGGCCUUUGCACAAGGGACGGGGUCUGUGUGUGGGACCAGAGGUCUUGGCAGGGACCGCCCUUCUCCACCAGCAAGGACCCCCGUGGAACCGUUGAGUGUUCUCAGAACGAGGACCACACGCUCACGGCCAUGCCAACCCUGGUUCAUCAGGCUGAGCCACCCAGAAGCCUGCUGGUGGAUCAGCGCAGGUGACCCACUGGGCCACCCUGAGGUCCUUGAGGGUCACUGCCGUGUCACCACUGCGGUCAGAGCUUGAGGAAAGGGGUGAAACGAACUCAUGGAUCUGUCCUCGAAUUUCACUUCGCCAGUGACCCCUGAACCUUGGAACGGGGACUUCUCCAACCUCAGCCCAUUGGCCCAAGCGCGGGGACACAGGGGCAGCAACUUCCUUCUUGGAGAGGAAGCUACUUCCAAACAAACCAGAGGGGAGGAAACCGUUCUACGGGCAAAAGUUUUCACAGCCGCCGUUUCUUCCACGGCUCGUGUUUGCCUUCAAGGACAUGUUGCUCACUGACAGAUCGUUCCUCAAUGGGGAACCAUCCCCUGCCCCAAAUCCAAAGUGGCUCCAUCCAUGUCCAAAAUUUCAGAGUUCCAGGAAGAAACGGGAGUUCAGUGCCGACGGAUACGUGACGGGGGAGGUCGGGUCAAAUGUGGGCUCCUCACCCGGUCCAUACGCAGAACUCAGAAGGUCCCGGAACUUGGAUAGGGGGAAAAUGGCCUCUUUCCCCUGACUCUGCACUAAAAUGUAGAUCUUCCCCCCACCGUGAAUGUAAACAACGUGUCACACUAGCACAUGUCAGCAAGGGCUGUGAUUUCGUCGCCAAUGGAAAUGACAGAUGUUUUCAUAUUUAACAGACUCUCAAAAUCUCAUCUCUGCUCUACAACAAAGGUUGUCAUCACACCCGCUGGUCGAUUUUACUUAAUGCAUUAAUAAUGAAAAAAAAAAGGCACAGAUGUUACUGGUUCGUAAAUUUGUUCUGAUUUUUAGAGGAUUGUAUUUCAACAGAGUUUUUUUUUUUUUUUGGAAUCCUAUGUAUUUUAUUUUAUUCAUUGUAAAACAUUCUAAGAAGAGGGCAGAAGGCUUUAUAGGGAUUGCCAGAGGAGAGCAUGAGACAAAAAAAAAAAAAAAAAGGUUAAGGAACUUUGGCUUCCGGCAGGUCUUUAUGCAGAAGAUCAGAUCAGCUCCCUGCUUCGCAGGUUCAUUAAUACAGUAGUAGCAAAUAUAAUCAAU
This is a long non-coding RNA of Felis catus (domestic cat), 1844 nucleotides long. RefSeq lists it as uncharacterized. The transcript has 2 exons. The record is from RefSeq and is a predicted model, not a curated record. Lineage: Eukaryota; Metazoa; Chordata; Mammalia; Carnivora; Felidae.